CAGGACGUCACAGAGGGUGAGAAUCCCGUACGUGACCGGUGGUCAACCCCAUGUGAGGCUCCUUCNACNAGUCNAGUUGUUUGGGAAUGCAGCUCUAAAUGGGUGGUAAAUUUCAUCUAAAGCUAAAUACUGGCCNGAGACCGAUAGCGCACAAGUANAGUGAUCGAAAGAUGAAAAGCACUUUGNAAAGAGAGUUAAAAAGUACGUGAAAUUGUUGAAAGGGAAGCGCUUGCAACCAGACUUGCCCGCGGGUGAUCAACCGUCCUUCGGGGCGGUGCACUCGCCCGCGAUCAGGCCAGUAUCGGUUUCGGCGGCCGGACAAAGACUUCGGGAACGUAGCUCCCCCCGGGGAGUGUUAUAGCCCGUCGUGUAAUACGGUUAGCUGGGACCGAGGACCGCGCUUCGGCUAGGAUACUGGCGUAAUGGUUGUCAGCGACCCGUCUUGAAACACGGACCAAGGAGUCUAACAUCUAUGCGAGUGUUUGGGUGUUAAACCCAUGCGCGUAAUGAAAGUGAACGGAGGUGGGAACCUUUCGGGGGGCACCAUCGACCGAUCCUGAUGUCUUCGGAUGGAUUUGAGUACGAGCAUAGCUGUUGGGACCCGAAAGAUGGUGAACUAUGCGUGAAUAGGGUGAAGCCAGAGGAAACUCUGGUGGANNNUCGCAGCGGUUCUGACGUGCAAAUCGAUCGUCAAAUUUGCGUAUAGGGGCGAAAGACUAAUCGAACCAUCUAAACGUUCCACUACUANAUGGAAUAUA
Molecule: ribosomal RNA, 758 nt
Filed under: Xylographa trunciseda
Lineage: Eukaryota; Fungi; Ascomycota; Lecanoromycetes; Baeomycetales; Xylographaceae
Description: eukaryotic LSU rRNA
Rfam family: Eukaryotic large subunit ribosomal RNA
Source: RNAcentral